UACAGAGGUCUCAAGCGUUGUUCGGAUUCAUUGGGGCGUAAAGGGUGCGUAGGCGGCGCGGUAAGUCGGGUGUGAAAUCUCGGGGCUUAACUCCGAAACUGCAUUCGAUACUGCCGUGCUUGAGGACUGGAGAGGAGACUGGAAUUUACGGUGUAGCGGUGAAAUGCGUAGAUAUCGAAGAGGAACACCUGCGGCGAAGGCGGGUUGCUGGGCUGAUGACUGACGCUGAGGCGCGAAAGCUAGGGGAGCGAACGGG
RNAcentral lists this ribosomal RNA (256 nucleotides) under uncultured bacterium. Its description in RNAcentral is "partial 16S ribosomal RNA". It matches the Rfam family "Bacterial small subunit ribosomal RNA", at positions 524 to 776 of the family's 1533-position model. The record is from RNAcentral.